Non-coding RNA from Peromyscus maniculatus bairdii (prairie deer mouse), 875 nucleotides. The record is from RefSeq and is a predicted model, not a curated record. Lineage: Eukaryota; Metazoa; Chordata; Mammalia; Rodentia; Cricetidae.
UAAUGACUAUGAGAUAUAUCUGCUCCUGGCAGCAUCAAUCUACUUCAAAGGAGAUAAUGAGCAUUGAAGAUACUCAAUGAGGUAUUCACUUUCUUUGUGGCAAAAGUUAGCCACUGGGCAAGAAAGUGGCCUUACAUCAACUGCUGACGAUAUGCUGUCCAAAUGGACAAAAGCAGGAUACAAAAGAAAGGACUGUUGAGCCUUGCAAAGACAAGUUUCCUGACAGGAUGGGGGAAGAGUAUUCAUAGCUAUUCAAUAUGCAUCACAGCUUGAAAUGCCUGCAGCAGAAUCUGGAAGAAGAGAAGUUAUACAGUUACCCAGCAGGGAUGCCUCUUUGCUGUCUCAGGCUGGAUGCCUGUGGCAACAGUUGCAAUAGGAACAGCCCACCUGGAAGUCUUCCUGUCAGCAUCAUUGGAUCCUGGGCACACAGAGUUUUCUGCUUUUCACUGAGUUCUGGAUAGCUAGUAAGCAUUGUUAGACUUACUUGAUGGGGGUGAUUUACUGUAAUCUGAAAGUGCAGUGGAAGAGGAAGUAGAAACUGAAAAUUUCCAUGUGAUUGGUGUCAAAUGGUAUCUGAGGGACUUAACAUGUGACAUAGAUUGUAGAUAUCCAUCUAAGAAAGAUCCCGAAACAUCUACACAUUGUCAGUAACAUCUUAGACAACAUCAGUGCUCUAGAAGCAAGGAAGUUCCGUGCACAGAAUGAAGCAUGAUCAAGCAUGCCCCACGCCACUGUAAUAGUGCAACUAGCCCAUCAUAAAGGAUAAGGGCACCAUCCGUGUUGUGCCACAAAACACACAUGCUUGUUUCCAUACAACAAACACAAAUGUGUGCCCACAUUCAUACAUUAAAAACAUGUAUGUGUCUACACCUUUG